AGCGAACGCUGGCGGCAGGCCUAACACAUGCAAGUCGAACGAACCUUUCGGGGUUAGUGGCGGACGGGUGAGUAACACGUGGGAACGUGCCUUUAGGUUCGGAAUAACUCAGGGAAACUUGUGCUAAUACCGAAUGUGCCCUUCGGGGGAAAGAUUUAUCGCCUUUAGAGCGGCCCGCGUCUGAUUAGCUAGUUGGUUGAGGUAAUGGCUCACCAAGGCGACGAUCAGUAGCUGGUCUGAGAGGUUGAUCAGCCACAUUGGGACUGAGACACGGCCCAAACUCCUACGGGAAGCAGCAGUGGGGAAUCUUGCGCAAUGGGCGAAAGCCUGACGCAGCCAUGCCGCGUGAAUGAUGAAGGUCUUAGGAUUGUAAAAUUCUUUCACCGGGGACGAUAAUGACGGUACCCGGAGAAGAAGCCCCGGCUAACUUCGUG
Molecule: ribosomal RNA, 434 nt
Filed under: uncultured bacterium
Lineage: Bacteria
Description: partial 16S ribosomal RNA
Rfam family: Bacterial small subunit ribosomal RNA
Source: RNAcentral